Molecule: long non-coding RNA, 291 nt
Filed under: Homo sapiens (human)
Lineage: Eukaryota; Metazoa; Chordata; Mammalia; Primates; Hominidae
Description: non-protein coding lnc-TP53INP2-1:1
Source: RNAcentral
AUAUACUCCAAGCAUUAUCUAUUACAGUUGCCUUAGUCAUUUACUUCACACUCCUACGGGCCUCAGAAUACUUUGCAACAAUCUUUACUAUCUCCGACGGAGUGUACAGCUCAACAUUCUUUAUAGCCACAGGGUUUUAUAGACUUCACAUCAUCAUUGGCUCAACUUUCCUGCUGCCUUCUACGCCAACUACCAUUUCACUUUAUUCACCGUUUUGGAUUUGAAGCUGCUGCUUGAUACUGACAUUUUGUAGAUGUAGUAUGGCUAUGCCGGUACGUUUCUGCCUAUUGA